GGGAAGAUGAGAAUAUUUUUUAGCUGGGCACUUUGCUGUCCUUACAACAGCAAGAUUUUGUUAGGAACGAAGAGGGUAGUGAUAAGCUCCUCACCUCCUGCCUGCCUAAGCUCCAGUUGCAAGGAAGGGAGAUAGAGUGAGAAGAAUAAAAAUAAAGAAGUUGCUCAUCUCUUCAUUUUGCAUGAGGACCUUGAAGUUUGCACAGCAUGGUGACGGUGACACCAAAUGAAAAGAGGACUGAGAACAGACUGUAAGCAAUUCAGCCUGCCAAAAAUUCAGAUUGCUAAAUAAGGGAUACCAAUCAGAUGUUUUCUAUCUUCCCUGGAGAAACUAAG
Homo sapiens (human) is the source of this 335-nucleotide long non-coding RNA. RefSeq lists it as uncharacterized. The record is from RefSeq and is a predicted model, not a curated record. The transcript has 4 exons. NCBI's taxonomy places the organism in Eukaryota, Metazoa, Chordata, Mammalia, Primates, Hominidae.